RNA transcript from Papaver somniferum (opium poppy), 3323 nucleotides. RefSeq lists it as uncharacterized. The record is from RefSeq and is a predicted model, not a curated record. Lineage: Eukaryota; Viridiplantae; Streptophyta; Magnoliopsida; Ranunculales; Papaveraceae. The transcript is spliced from 11 exons.
UUUCAUCACCACCGGUUCCCGAGGAUAGAGAGAGCGACAGAGAGAAAAAUCAAAACCCUUGAUAUCGAAAAAUCCAGAGGUUUUCACCACAAGAGAUUUUUAAUGGCACCAGCCAAGGGAAAAAAACUUGCAUCAAAACAAUCAAAAGAUUCAACACCAAUUGAUUUCAGCCAGAUUAGGAAUAAUAGAGUUGUAAAAAGAGAAGAAGAAAUUCAGCCAAAGAGAAGGAAACUGGCAGCACCGCCUCUUCUUGAAACUUCAACUUCCAUGGUGGUUGUGUCGGAACCAAUUCCGGGUACUAUUGUCCCAUAUCAUUCAGAUGAACCAAUUUCUAUGGUUAUACCUAAACCAGAAAGUUCAAAAUAUAUUGUCAACUUCAACUCUAUGGUUAUAUCGAAACCAGAAGAGUCAACAGAUAUUGUCAACUUCAAAGAUGAACCACAAAAAAAAACUACAGAUGUGGCUACCAUGGACUUAUCAACAUAAGUAAAAGAUUAGAGCCGGAUUCGGCGAAAAGAAAAAAACGCGAUGAGGAGAUACUUUUGGGCUCAACAGAAAAGAAGUUACUCUGGUUCAAGGACGAACAGUUGGAGGUUUUAGAAACAACGCCUUUCUAGAAUAUGUCGAAACCUUUUAUAUACAAAGAGCUUUCGACAACUUUUUAUGAUUGGAAAAAGAGUGUACAAACAAUUGAAUCAAUAAUAAGAACUUACAAGAAUCCUGUAGAAGGUAACUCUGAUGAAGAAGUCGGCGAAAAGGAUCAUUGUUUUGUCUUUGGAGACGGUGACAAUAAAUUUACUUUGAGAAGCACCGCAAAUCAUUUAGCCGUCCACUUCGGGAUUAGGAGACCCAGAUCAGGGGCAGCUAUAAAAUAAGGAACAGUAAAAAUGGCUGGAGAAAUAGAUGUGCUGGCUUAUUUUAAGGGUAGUAAUCAGAUUAAAAAAACUGAUAUUGAGGCUAUCUUUGAGAAUAUACUCGAGUUAGAGACAGUAGAUGUGCAUGAAAUUAGAAGGAAGGGGGUCCUACUAGCGAAGCUACUUACACUGUAUCUUUGAGUCACUGUCUUUUUCACAACAGGAACUGGAAAUUCGCUGCCAAAGGACGUUUCUGGAAAAUAUUUUGUAACUUUGUUCAGGAUGAACAGUACUGAUUGGCCACAGCUAAUUCACUAGAAUCUAAUGUCGAGCAUUAGAAAUCAAAAGGCCGGUCCUCUGUCUGUACAUGGAUGUGUGAUACAUCUACUGUACUUGUUCGCAUCACACUCGAACUACUUCAACCAAGAAAACAAAAAAUUCCCAAGGAUGGCAAGAUGGACAUUAAAGGAACUUACUCUUAAAGUAGAUAUGAAGAUAGCAGUGUCCAUGCUAUCUAAAUCACUGAUAGAAGAAGGUUGGUCAGAGGAAGAGAGAAGAUUGACUCUUGAGUCUGUCAUUCCUGACACCGGUGAUAUGAGCCCAGACAGAACGAUUAAGUUGUUGAAGAAUCAAUUGAUAAUAUCUCAACAAUUGUUGGCGAAGAGAGAAGAAGCAUAUUCUGAUUUGCAAUCUAAAGAGUCUUUUGAUUACGAUUUUGUUGAAUUCGUCCGCUCGAGAAAGCAGGGGCUAGAGAGUCUAAAAUCUCGUGGACACCGCAUUCCAGAAGAUAAAUACAGGAGUGAUCUAUAUGAAAUUUUCAAUCGCAUGAAAGAUACAUUUACUACCUCGUUAGAAGAGGAUUCUGAUACUGAAAAUCAAGAUUCUGAAGAAGAUGCUACUAAGAAGAAGCCGCGUGGUCGCAAACUUCCCAGCCUGGAUGGGAAUAAACUGCUUCACAAAAUGAAUGAAAAAGACAAAAUGAGGAUUUCCAGUUUCUGGAAACAUGCUACUACAAUGGAAGUUGUUUUUCACUAUAAUGUCAAUGCUGUUCUAGAGGCCAAGGUUUCAGUUAUCGUUCUGGGUUCAACACUGAAAGAACUGCUAUUUGAUGACCUUGUCGACGCUCAAGCCAUUCAGUUCUACACUUUGAGGAGGAGAAUAAGAGUUGCAUCAGACCGUCAGAACAAAGCUCCAAAGUACAGGAAUUGUGUGUACUUUGAUCCUUAUGCAUGGUAUGCUGUCCGGAAUGGCAUUCAAAGUGGAAUAGAUGAUCAUGUUAGUAAACCUCUCCAAAACAUACGUGUACGUGAAAUGGAGAUGCUGGACUACCUUCUCAUCCCAAUGAAUAUAAGUGAUGACCCACUUAAAUCAGGAUAUCACUGGACCCUACUAGUGUUGGAUGUUCAACGCAGAGAGUGGCAUUUCCUCAACUCAUUGGUCUUAGAAAUUGAAGAUACCUAUCUUUUAGAUGCAAGGAAAAUGGCAGCGGCUGUCACACCUGAAAUAAACAAACGAUUAACGGAACCAAUUGUUUGCACCGAUGUGAUCCAGACUUAUGAAAAGGUAUGCAAAAGAUAACGGAAAAUCUAUUGAAAUGGAUUCAAAAAAAGCUGGUGAAAUUUGCUGCGAAAUGAGGCACAAGAUGGCAGCAAAAAUGUUGAGACCAUGUGAAUAUGCCAGUGUGUGGAGUGCUCCUAACGAUGAUCAUCUUUAAAACUGAAUGCAGUAGAACAAUUUAUUGUUAUCUCAGAGGGAUCUAAGUAUCUUUGUUUUGUUGAAUUAUGGCACAGCUUUUGGUAAAAAAGCAUACUUUCAGAUAGAUUGAGAACAAGAUACGGUGCAAGACCUGACGCGCAUUAUUUGGUUAUUUUGUUUAAGAAAAAGAAAGGUUAAAUGCUCUAUUAUUGUUUGCUCGGUACUCGAGGACCUACUCUUCAAAGAAUAUUUGGACAUUGCGGUAGUCCAUUUCUACAUUUUAAGGAGAAAACUGGGAACUUUGAAUGAUCGACAACACAAAGGAGACCACAAGUACCUAAACUGUGCUUACAUGGAUCCUUUUGCAUGGGAAACAGUGAUAAAAGAAUACCCUGACAAGGAGGCUUUGGUGAACAAAUUCAUAGAAAAAACGGCUGAUAAUUUGGAUAGUCUUCUGAUACCCAUAAACAACCUUGGCAAACACUGGACCCUCUUGGUGUUCGAUUUUAAUACUGAAGAAUGGAACUACUACGACUAACUGACUGCAAAUGCACGCAAGUGAAUCAAAGAUGCAAAUAAAAUGGCAUCGACAAUGAUAGAGGAAUUAAACAAGAAGAGACUGGACUUGGGGAAAAAGCAAAUAGCCAACACUGAUGUGAAGCCAAUAAAGUGUCCACACUGGCUAACAAUACACUGAAAUCAUGCUGCAGACUAGGGAAUAUGGAGGUGACUACACUGGCUAACGAUACACCGAAAUAUUUUAAACAUUACUAU